Molecule: ribosomal RNA, 422 nt
Filed under: uncultured bacterium
Lineage: Bacteria
Description: bacterial SSU rRNA
Rfam family: Bacterial small subunit ribosomal RNA
Source: RNAcentral
UGAGGAAUAUUGGUCAAUGGGCGGAAGCCUGAACCAGCCAUGCCGCGUGCGGGAAGAAGGCCCUACGGGUUGUAAACCGCUUUUCCCCGGGAAGAAUAACCCCGACGCGUCGGGGGAUGCCGGUACCGGGGGAAUAAGGAUCGGCUAACUCCGUGCCAGCAGCCGCGGUAAUACGGAGGAUCCGAGCGUUAUCCGGAUUUACUGGGUCUAAAGGGCGCGUAGGCGGCCCUGCAAGUCAGCGGUGAAAUGUGGCGGCUCAACCGUUUCGCUGCCGCUGAUACUGUAGGGCUUGGAUGCGGUCGAGGCGGGUGGAAUUCGUGGUGUAGCGGCGAAAUGCAUAGAUAUCACGAGGAACGCCAAUAGCGAAGGCAGCUCGCCGGGCCGCGAUCGACGCUGAGGCACGAAAGCGUGGGGAUCAAACA